UACGUAGGGUGCAAGCGUUGUCCGGAAUCAUUGGGCGUAAAGCGCGCGUAGGUGGCUUCGUAAGUCCGUUGUGAAAGUCAAAGGCUCAACCUUUGAAAGCCGAUGGAUACUGCGGAGCUAGAGUACGGAAGAGGCGGGUGGAAUUCCUGGUGUAGCGGUGGAAUGCGCAGAUAUCAGGAGGAACACCGGUGGCGAAGGCGGUCUGCUGGGCAGUUGCUGACACUGAGGCGCGACAGCGUGGGGAGCAAACAGG
Molecule: ribosomal RNA, 253 nt
Filed under: uncultured bacterium
Lineage: Bacteria
Description: partial 16S ribosomal RNA
Rfam family: Bacterial small subunit ribosomal RNA
Source: RNAcentral